UAAUUACGUUAGCUACGAGAACAUGGCCAUCUUCGUUAGUUCAUCCUACCAGUACAUCAUCCUCGCAAUCAUCUUCUCUAAAGGCAAACCCUACCGGAAAUCCUUGUUCACUAACUAUGCCUUCCUGGUGAAUCUAAUAAUCGUAUUUGGAGUGAACGCCUGGCUGAAUAUAUAUCCUCCGGAUGAAAUUGUGGAAUUAUUUGAGUUGAAAAUGCCACCCAA
This is a long non-coding RNA of Dreissena polymorpha, 222 nucleotides long. RefSeq lists it as uncharacterized. The transcript has 3 exons. NCBI's taxonomy places the organism in Eukaryota, Metazoa, Mollusca, Bivalvia, Myida, Dreissenidae. The record is from RefSeq and is a predicted model, not a curated record.